UGGGAAUGCCUCCUGGACCCAAGGCAAGGAUGAAACAGGAUGGUGCCCGGAGACAGCCCCUUUUCCAUGCCCACUGCAGCAACAAAACUCCUGAAGGUGCUGCCCAGCCCUGCUGCCUGCCUGACCCUUCAGGCAUGCGCCAUGUUGGAGGUGCCACCAAGAGCAGUGAGUCCCUUGCACUGAGUCCCUGGUGGCCACAGGGAUGCUUGGGGAGAGAGGACCAACACCAGUCCAGGCCAGUGCAAGACAUGUGGUGGGAAGCACAUGAACCUCCUUGGGGCAAUCACAUCAGCUCCAGGUCCAGCUCUCUCCUCUGUCACAGCCUGGGGUCUGGGGGACACCACAGUGCUGAUGGAGACACAACAGCAGGCAGGAAUUCGAGGGCAGCCCACAAGCCCUGGGGCUGGUGGGAGCUGGCUCUGGGCUCCCCACACCUCAGCUGCCUGCUUUGGCACUGCGAGAACAAAACAAAGCCCAGCGGGAAGCAUAUUUGCGGGCAGGCAGCAGGGAAACGCUUUGCUGAACCAUUUAAUCAGCCUGUUAUGGCAGCAGAAGGAGGAGGGCAGGCGCAAAAGGCCACCCCAGCCCUGCCAGCAGCUCAGGGAGGGGGUAGUCUCUGGGCUCAGAACGGGCAGGCAGGGCAGGAACACCCCAUCCACAUCUCUGCUCUGUCUGGAAAGCGGAGAAGGGAUGAGCUUACCAUCUCACAGCAGUGAUAAACACUUCUUACUCUGCCCAUCGGUGACUGAGGGGACAUCCCCCCCUGCCCAAAUGAAGCACUGUAAAUCCCCAGAGCCAUAUCACUUUGCACAACGCACACACAUCCCUUGGGAGACUGGGAAAGCUGGAAGCGCAUAGGGACUAAAAGCUUCACCGGCACUUGCACUCAACGAGCAAGAUGAUCUCUGCUGCUGCAGCCUGUGGGCAGGCUCCAGGGUGUUUUGCGCUGGGGUCAACACAACGCUAAAGGACAGCAGCACAAUUAAUGCCAAUCUCCCCAGUUCUGCAGAAAUAGCCCGUGUCAGAAAGCCGGUAUGAC
RNAcentral lists this long non-coding RNA (1039 nucleotides) under Calidris pugnax (ruff). RNAcentral describes it as "lncRNA (ENSCPUG00000004862.1)". Lineage: Eukaryota; Metazoa; Chordata; Aves; Charadriiformes; Scolopacidae. The record is from RNAcentral.